UACGUAGGUGGCAAGCGUUUGUCCGGAAUUAUUGGGCGUAAAGCGCGCGUAGGCGGCCCGAUAAGUCUGCUGUGAAAGUCCAGGGCUCAACCCUGGAAUGCCGGUGGAUACUGUCGGGCUAGAGUUCGGAAGAGGCAAGUGGAAUUCCUGGUGUAGCGGUGGAAUGCGCAGAUAUCAGGAGGAACACCUAUAGCGAAGGCAGCUUGCUGGGACGACACUGACGCUGAGGCGCGAAAGCGUGGGGAGCGAACAGG
This 254-nucleotide ribosomal RNA is filed under the name uncultured bacterium. Its description in RNAcentral is "partial 16S ribosomal RNA". It matches the Rfam family "Bacterial small subunit ribosomal RNA", at positions 524 to 776 of the family's 1533-position model. The record is from RNAcentral.